UAGGUGAACCUGCGGAGGGAUCAUUACAGAGUUGCAAAACUCCCUAAACCAUUGUGAACGUUACCUAAACCGUUGCUUCGGCGGGCGGCGCCGGGGUUUACCCCCCGGGCGCCCCUGGGCCCCACCGCGGGCGCCCGCCGGAGGUCACCAAACUCUUGAUAAUUUAUGGCCUCUCUGAGUCUUCUGUACUGAAUAAGUCAAAACUUUCAACAACGGAUCUCUUGGUUCUGGCAUCGAUGAAGAACGCAGCGAAAUGCGAUAAGUAAUGUGAAUUGCAGAAUUCAGUGAAUCAUCGAAUCUUUGAACGCACAUUGCGCCCGCCAGUAUUCUGGCGGGCAUGCCUGUUCGAGCGUCAUUUCAACCAUCAAGCCCCGGGCUUGUGUUGGGGACCUGCGGCUGCCGCAGGCCCUGAAAAGCAGUGGCGGGCUCGCUGUCACACCGAGCGUAGUAGCAUACAUCUCGCUCUGGGCGUGCUGCGGGUUCCGGCCGUUAAACCACCUUUUAACCCAAGGUUGACCUCGGAUCAGGUAGGAAGACCCGCUGAACUUAAGCAUAUCAAUAAGCGGA
RNAcentral lists this ribosomal RNA (567 nucleotides) under Chaetomium globosum. RNAcentral describes it as "eukaryotic LSU rRNA". The stretch from base 202 to 355 matches the Rfam family "5.8S ribosomal RNA". Lineage: Eukaryota; Fungi; Ascomycota; Sordariomycetes; Sordariales; Chaetomiaceae. The record is from RNAcentral.